Molecule: long non-coding RNA, 1308 nt
Filed under: Gadus morhua (Atlantic cod)
Lineage: Eukaryota; Metazoa; Chordata; Actinopteri; Gadiformes; Gadidae
Description: lncRNA (ENSGMOG00000029979.1)
Source: RNAcentral
AUGUUAUUUGGUGAUUUUCCAUCGUUCGAAUACCUUAGUGCUGUAUUGAAAUGCUCCCCCAGAGUUCUCCUAUUAAUUAUUUACAGGCCACCCACAUAUUCUGCAAUUUUUUUCGAUGACUUCACAGAAUUAUUGUCUAGCAUCUCCACAGAAUUUGACUGUCUAGUUAUAACUGGUGACUUCAAUUUUCAUACUGAUGAUUUGAAUGACAAGUGUGCAAAAAAACUUUUUACCAUUUUGGACACAUUUGAACUGUCUCAACAUGUGAAAGAGGCUACUCAUUGUAAGGGGCACACUCUAGACCUGGUUAUCACAAAGGGCCUCAAUGUUUCUGAUCUCUCUGUGACUGAUCCUUCCUUGUCUGACCACUUUUGUGUUUUCUUUAACAUAUCUUUUAUUCCCGACAUACAGACAAAAUCAAACACUGUCAAAAAACGGUAUAUCAAUGAAGAUUCUAAUGUACUUUUUAAAAAGGCCAUCUCCUUGCUACCACCUCUAAACCCAUGUUCUGCUGAUGAUCUUGUAGAAAACUUUAAUUUGAAAAUUUUGAAAGUCAUAGAUGUCAUUGCACCUUAUAAGGUUAAAACGAUUUCUGGAAAGCAAAAGGCACCCUGGAGAAAAGCUGCUUCGGUAACAGCACAGAAAAAAGAAUGCAGGAAGGUUGAACGCAUCUGGCGUAAAACAAAACUUCAUAUUCACCAUGAUAUCUAUAAAGAGAGCCUCCGUGCCUACAAUUUAGACUUAAAAAAUGCUAGAGAAACAUUUUUCUCCAAUAUCAUUAAAACCAACACUAAUAAUGCAAAAACCCUAUUUGCAACUGUUGACAGACUGACCAACCCCCCAACAGAAAUUCCACCUGAUCUCCAUUCCACGCAGAAAUGCAAUGAGUUUGCAGCUUUUUAUAUUGAUAAAAUUGAAGGUAUCAGACGCGCCGUCAAUAUCACCACGUCAAACAAAAAUGUUGGACUACCACCCUGUUCAGGCAAAAAUUACGUGGCAAGGAUGGCAUGCUUUGAUGUUAUAGACUCUCAAAAUCUUGUGGAAACUGUGACACAACUAAAGCCAUCCACCUGUUGCCUUGAUACUAUACCUACCAACCUCUUUAAGAAUGUUUUCGACUGCCUAGCAGUAGACAUAUUGCAGAUAGUUAACAACUCUCUCCAGUCAGGCAAGUUCCCAAAAGUUUUGAAAACUGCAGUUAUUAAACCCCUUUUAAAAAAGCGGAGCCUAGAUGCCACUAUUAUUAACAACUACAGACCAAUAUAUUUCAUUGUGUGUUUUAUUGUGUGUGAUGUACAGUGUCCUUGA